Long non-coding RNA from Esox lucius (northern pike), 1981 nucleotides. The record is from Ensembl. NCBI's taxonomy places the organism in Eukaryota, Metazoa, Chordata, Actinopteri, Esociformes, Esocidae.
CAUCACAUUACCAUGCUUAAAUGUAGGUGAGGUUCUAAAACGGCUCUAUUCAUUCUUAAAAUAAUAUUCUAUGGGCAGAAGAGGAUCAUGGGUCCCGGUAUAAGGUUCUCUUUAUUUAAUAUUAUGUUUGGUUAAAGAUCUGAUAACAUUGUGUAUAAAAUAUGCAUAACAAUAACUAGAAAAGGGGCAGAUAUUUCAGUGAAAUCUUCAAGAAAGUUAGGAUGCAUAUGCUAUUCAUGUGGUCAACCAAGACAUUUUAAUUGUGAAAUUUAAAACUUAAAAACAACAAUCAUACAACUUGCUAGCUGUCAAAUGAUUAAGUACACUAGAGAUCAAGUAUUUUGCAGAACCCAAGAGUGACCCUCUCAUCCUGAUUCGCCACAAGACAGCUUCCCCCAUUUCUGGUGCAAAGGUAACUCUUGCUUUGUAAGUGUUGAGAGGAAAGUCUGAACACUGACAGGCUAAACUUUUAACAUUGCUUGUAAAAUUACUUUAUAUGAAGAUAUUUGAAUAUAUGUAGAAUAAUGUUUGGUUGAUUUAAGGGAAUAGCAAUAAGAAAUUAAAGUCAAAUACAAUCAGAAGGUCUCAGUUCACUAGCUAGGUCAACGGAGAACCAGUAAAAUGCAAUAACAAAAAGAAAUAGUUGAGAUUAAAUCCAAAAUGUGUGCCCCUAACUAAACCGAAUGAGUCUUGUCCUGUCCACAACACUUAGUUGAUAGAAAACAAUUUAGUUUUUAAAUUAAAAUGUCUAAUUGUUAUUAUUGCACAUGAGCAGAAGACAGUAAUACUAUAGAACUCUCUUCCUCCUUAAUGGACUCUCCUGUAGCACACAUUCAGAGAACUAGUGACGUACAAGAAUAAAGAUUUUUCCAUGACAAAAAAAAGAAAUAGGUUUGGUAAAAUCCUUGAUCUGAGUGAAAAACAGACAGGAUGGCCAGCAGAGCUGCAGGUUGAACACUCAACGUUGUGCUAAUGUACAGUAAAAUGGCGACGUAAGUGCUUUUUUUUAACUCAAAGAAAGAAUAUUUCAGAAAUGUAUUUAUUGUUUGAGGCAUCAUUUCAUCAAAAGUUAACCUGUGCUAUCCGUUGAUUGGUAUCCCUACCACUCUGGUCCAACCAUUUCUAUAGAGUAUGAGAACAAACACUUCAAGGAAAAAAAAAAGUUGACUCCUGGGAUUUUUCGUUUUAAGAGAUGACUGCUACAUUAAAACUGCACAGUUUUGUGCAACACCAGAAAAGGCUGAGGAUUUCCUUUACACUCUGUUCUGCUUGUUGUUUGGGAUGAUGAAUUGCUUUUCACAUGUUCUGCCUCAUUAUUGGUGCUGAUUGGCAGAGUCUGGGUCCAAUAACAUGGCAGCGUGAGUCAUUAAAACACUGUAGGUUGCAGUGAGGUUUUCUGGGGGAUGGGGAGGUCUCUGGCAAUGGCAGAGUCUGUCACACAAGCCUGUGGUUAGGGCUCUGUCUGUUGCCCCUCAGACAGGCCCAUUCACUGCUGACACCUCUGUGGACUGGACCUGUGUUGGGUCCUCUCUGGAGGGGAGAGAAAGGGAGCAGGUUGGGACGUUAUGAGAAUCCAACAUUUCAGACCAACACUCCUUUUGGCAGGAUAGAGUUCACAGUAAAUGUUUCUACAGGCUCAAAACCUUGGCAACAAGCACUGCUAUUGUUCAAUGUCCAGAUGUUUUUGUGUUGUUUGAAGGAAACACUGGUUUCAAAGUUAUUUUUAGCCCUGCUUUGACCAGGCAGGGUCCUAAACAAACACAAACCUGCACUUUAAUUGGUCACAUGGUUGCAAUUACUGCCGCAAAGUCAAUUUUUAUUAAUAUUUAAAUGUUGAAUGUAACUACUACACAGGCCAACUACAUGAGCUGCCUUAAAACAUGUCAGAAAAGGUAAGGGUGGGGGGAGGAGGGGAAAUGAGAUGGGAAGUUCUUCUCACCCUCCCAACUCCCAUCUCAGCCCCCCCCCAAGGGAGAGAGAA